GACGAACGCUGGCGGCGUGCCUAAUACAUGCAAGUUGAGCGAUGAAGAUUGGUGCUUGCACCAAUUUGAAGAGCAGCGAACGGGUGAGUAACGCGUGGGGAAUCUGCCUUUGAGCGGGGGACAACAUUUGGAAACGAAUGCUAAUACCGCAUAACAACUUUAAACAUAAGUUUUAAGUUUGAAAGAUGCAAUUGCAUCACUCAAAGAUGAUCCCGCGUUGUAUUAGCUAGUUGGUGAGGUAAAGGCUCACCAAGGCGAUGAUACAUAGCCGACCUGAGAGGGUGAUCGGCCACAUUGGGACUGAGACACGGCCCAAACUCCUACGGGAGGCAGCAGUAGGGAAUCUUCGGCAACGGACGAAAGUCUGACCGAGCAACGCCGCGUGAGUGAAGAAGGUUUUCGGAUCGUAAAACUCUGUUGGUAGAGAAGAACGUUGGUGAGAGUGGAAAGCUCAUCAGGUGACGGUAACUACCCAGAAAGGGACGGCUAACUACGUG
This 497-nucleotide ribosomal RNA is filed under the name uncultured bacterium. Its description in RNAcentral is "partial 16S ribosomal RNA". It matches the Rfam family "Bacterial small subunit ribosomal RNA", at positions 28 to 507 of the family's 1533-position model. The record is from RNAcentral.